GAUUAACGCUGGCGGCGUGCCUAACACAUGCAAGUCGAGCGAGAAACUUUGGAAUGAGAUUUCGGUCAAGUGAAGAAGUGGAAAGCGGCGGACGGGUGAGUAACGCGUAGGCAACCUGCCCCAUACAGAGGGAUAGCCUCGGGAAAUCGGGAUUAAAACCUCAUAACGCUGACAGAACUCCUGUUUUGUCAGCCAAAGAUUUAUCGGUAUGGGAUGGGCCUGCGUCUGAUUAGUUAGUUGGUGGGGUAACGGCUCACCAAGACAGCGAUCAGUAGCCGACCUGAGAGGGUAAUCGGCCACAUUGGAACUGAGACACGGUCCAAACUCCUACGGGAGGCAGCAGUGGGGAAUAUUGCACAAUGGGCGAAAGCCUGAUGCAGCAACGCCGCGUGAGCGAUGAAGGUCCUAUGGAUCGUAAAGCUCUGUCCUUGGGGAAGAAAAAAAUGACGGUACCCAAGGAGGAAGCCCCGGCUAACUACGUGCCAGCCGCCGCAG
This 495-nucleotide ribosomal RNA is filed under the name uncultured bacterium. Its description in RNAcentral is "bacterial SSU rRNA". It matches the Rfam family "Bacterial small subunit ribosomal RNA", at positions 28 to 520 of the family's 1533-position model. The record is from RNAcentral.